This is a long non-coding RNA of Alosa alosa (allis shad), 938 nucleotides long. RefSeq lists it as uncharacterized. The record is from RefSeq and is a predicted model, not a curated record. The transcript has 5 exons. Lineage: Eukaryota; Metazoa; Chordata; Actinopteri; Clupeiformes; Clupeidae.
GGUUAGUGGCCAUAUCACUCACAAGGGAACAGGGCAUUUCAUAAUGUCAUAUUGGAAUUCCCAGUGACUCACGCGCUGAGCACUUCAACUCAAACACAUAACACAGCGAGCGCAGUGACAGCUAUCUAGAGCGUGUUUUAGUGUUCAUUUGGUUGAGGAACCGUUUUCCUGCGCGUUCUAUGUAGCCUACCGGUUUUGUCUGCCCUCAGAUGAGGAGUCUAGUUGCAAUGUGGUAGUCUGGCUGAGAGAGAGAGAGAGAGAGAGAGAGAGAUGGUGAUACGCGACCCGCCCCGUGAGGAACGGGAAGGCUCGUGUGGGCGGGCAGCAGUGAGCGGAAACGUGCUUACAGGCAGAGCUUCAUUUCAUCCAGCUUCGUAUCGCAACGUGCUUGCCCUCUCGCGUCAGCUACCGGAAAGUUUAGGUGCCUAGAAACUUCACGGCCGUCUGGGAACUGUGGAUUGUGUGAGAGAUGGAGCUGUUUCUGUCUGUUUAAAGCCCAAGUCCAUGACUUACAAGGCCUGAUGUUCCGAUGGCAUGGCUAGCUGUUCUCUGGAUCCUGGAGUGUCUGACGUGCUCCUCACAUGCUCUUCUAGACGAACCCCCUUCCUGUCUGAUCCCUUUCUCUCAGACGGACAUCUUCUGUGAAUGGACACCAGACGCCGGACUGACCAACUACACGCUUCACUGGAGCUAUGAUGAAGUGGACAAGUCGGAGAAGGCGAGUGGCGGUGGCGGGACCAUUCUGCGGCGGCACUACGACCGGCUGGCCCUGGUGUCCGUGUGGAUAACAGCCUCUGACUCUCAGGGCUCACACACGUCACCCAAGACACACUUCCUUCCCAGCAGCAUCACCCAGCCUCCUCCUCCUGACUCUGUCAGCAGUAUGAGUGUGGAUGGACACAUGGAGGUAUCUUGGAGUUGGGCUCCAGAGUCCGGGC